GUCGCUUCUCAUGUUUAAUCUUUGCGAUCAGCUCCCAGGUGGGGAUUUAAUAUUGGAAGCCCUUGCAAAUAUGUCGGACAUGAAGGACAGUGACCAGACAAACAAAUCCAGUCUCGAAAAGGGAAUGUAUUCGAUCUCAGCACUCGACUUAGUUUCUCACUUGGGAUUUGGGAUGGGAACAGCUUCAAGCGAUUCCAAUGAAAAUGAGCUUCUUGUGGGUGAGAUUGCUGUUGGAAAGAUGACUCCUCUGGAAAGGGCUGUUAAGGAAUCAAGAAACAAUUAUGAAAAAGUGGUGAUGGCUCAAGAGACAGUUGAUGGAGCAAAA
RNAcentral lists this unclassified non-coding RNA (325 nucleotides) under Hevea brasiliensis (rubber tree). The record is from RNAcentral. Lineage: Eukaryota; Viridiplantae; Streptophyta; Magnoliopsida; Malpighiales; Euphorbiaceae.